Molecule: long non-coding RNA, 125 nt
Organism: Molossus molossus (Pallas's mastiff bat)
Lineage: Eukaryota; Metazoa; Chordata; Mammalia; Chiroptera; Molossidae
Exons: 3
Source: RefSeq, a predicted model, not a curated record
GACGACACUCAAUCCACUGAACCACACUGGCCAGGCUGGGAUGUAUGUUAACCUACACCAGAGAGCUCUACACAGCCAUGGGGAGCCCUACAAUUUGAAAAUGGCCAGUCCACCUUUAGCUUCAU